Molecule: long non-coding RNA, 717 nt
Filed under: Mytilus galloprovincialis (Mediterranean mussel)
Lineage: Eukaryota; Metazoa; Mollusca; Bivalvia; Mytilida; Mytilidae
Source: RNAcentral
AGCGAACAAUUGACAUUAAAUAUUUGUUUAAUUGUAUAUCUGAAUCCUAUUUUGUUACUCUGGACCAAGGUGACACUUGCUACAAAUAUACCACAAAGAACGUCAUAUUUUCUUUUACAUUAACAUGCUUUGUUCAUGCAUGUUCCUUUGUCUUUUUUUGUAAAGUUCCUAAAUAUUCUAUAACAAUUGUCUCCCCGCAUUAUGUUUACUUCCGAUAACCUCAAUUUCAAUGAGCAUAAUGGGCUGCAUGCAGUUAACGAAUUACUGACCUAAUGCUAAAUACAGGAGAUUAACAGAUUAAAUAAGCGUGAUUAUUUUAAAUAGUUAAAAUAAUAAAUUUUUAUUUCCAUUACUAUUGAACUUUUUAUAUUAAUUUGAGACAUAAGUUCUGUUGAUCUGUUAUAUACAUUUGUAUCUAAUAAACUUGACUAACUUCUUAAUAUUAAUCAGACCGUACGCGUACGGUCCGACCGUAUGCGUAUUUUGAAAAAGUACGCAUACGGUCCAGACCGUACGCGUACGGUCCAAAUACUCAUACGGUCUGGAACAGCUAUAUAGAAGGGUUGAGAUAUCACAAAUCAAGUUAAACCUCGCAUCAUUUUUGCGCUUGACCCUGGCAAUUGUUAGUCUUGUGUAUUUUAAUUUUGGUUCAUUUAUAUGUUUCGGAGUUUAGUGUGUUGUCCAUUUCCGUUGAAAAGGUAAAAAUGUAUAUUAUUU